CCACCAAGCAGGCGUGUACUUGGGUGA
RNAcentral lists this non-coding RNA (27 nucleotides) under Homo sapiens (human). Lineage: Eukaryota; Metazoa; Chordata; Mammalia; Primates; Hominidae. The record is from RNAcentral.